This 206-nucleotide ribosomal RNA is filed under the name Clostridioides difficile. RNAcentral's name for it is "partial 23S ribosomal RNA". It matches the Rfam family "Bacterial large subunit ribosomal RNA", at positions 2367 to 2572 of the family's 2925-position model. The record is from RNAcentral. Lineage: Bacteria; Bacillati; Bacillota; Clostridia; Peptostreptococcales; Peptostreptococcaceae.
GCUUGAUUGCAAGACAUACAGGUCGAGCAAGGAUGAAAAUCGGACUUAGUGAUCCGGUGGUUCUGCGUGGAAGGGCCAGCGCUCAACGGAUAAAAGCUACCCUGGGGAUAACAGGCUUAUCUCCCCCAAGAGUCCACAUCGACGGGGAGGUUUGGCACCUCGAUGUCGGCUCAUCACAUCCUGGGGCUGUAGUAGGUCCCAAGGGU